UUGGGGAAUAUUGCACAAUGGGCGAAAGCCUGAUGCAGCAACGCCGCGUGAGGGACGACGGCCUUCGGGUUGUAAACCUCUUUUAGUAGGGAAGAAGCGAAAGUGACGGUACCUGCAGAAAAAGCACCGGCUAACUACGUGCCAGCAGCCGCGGUAAUACGUAGGGUGCAAGCGUUAUCCGGAAUUAUUGGGCGUAAAGAGCUCGUAGGCGGUCUGUCGCGUCUGCUGUGAAAACUGGAGGCUCAACCUCCAGCCUGCAGUGGGUACGGGCAGACUAGAGUGCGGUAGGGGAGAUUGGAAGUCCUGGUGUAGCGGUGGAAUGCGCAGAUAUCAGGAGGAACACCGAUGGCGAAGGCAGAUCUCUGGGCCGUAACUGACGCUGAGGAGCGAAAGCGUGGGGAGCGAACAGGAUUAGAUACCCCUGUAGUCC
RNAcentral lists this ribosomal RNA (430 nucleotides) under uncultured bacterium. Its description in RNAcentral is "partial 16S ribosomal RNA". It matches the Rfam family "Bacterial small subunit ribosomal RNA", at positions 354 to 796 of the family's 1533-position model. The record is from RNAcentral.